AUGCAGAUCUUCGUCAAGACCCUGACCGGGAAGACCAUCACGCUCGAGGUCGAGAGCAGCGACACCAUCGACAACGUCAAGGCCAAGAUUCAGGACAAGGAAGGGAUCCCUCCGGACCAGCAGCGGCUCAUCUUCGCGGGGAAGCAGCUGGAGGAGGGGCGCACCUUGGCCGACUACAACAUCCAGAAGGAGUCGACGCUGCACCUGGUGCUCCGUCUCCGCGGCGGCACCAGGGGAGGCUACCUAAACGUGGAACCAAAUCUCCUGCAGCUCGCGCUCAAGUACAACGAGAAGAAGAUGGUCUGCCGCAAGUGCUACGCUCGGCUUCCCCUGAGGUCCACCAACUGCCGCAAGAAGAAGUGCGGCCACAGCAACGAGCUGAGGCCCAAGAAGAGGUUCGUCAACAAGCUUUCCAACUGA
This 420-nucleotide ribosomal RNA is filed under the name Triticum aestivum (bread wheat). Its description in RNAcentral is "partial small subunit ribosomal RNA". The record is from RNAcentral. Lineage: Eukaryota; Viridiplantae; Streptophyta; Magnoliopsida; Poales; Poaceae.